Equus quagga is the source of this 653-nucleotide long non-coding RNA. RefSeq lists it as uncharacterized. The transcript is spliced from 3 exons. Lineage: Eukaryota; Metazoa; Chordata; Mammalia; Perissodactyla; Equidae. The record is from RefSeq and is a predicted model, not a curated record.
GGCAGCCUUGGAUGCAGGAAGUCUUAAAGAUUUAAUGAGACUCGGGGCUGUGUUGCCUGUAGCUGGGUCAAGAGCAUGAGGACUUUCCUGGACGCUGUGCUGGCCCUGAGCACCCAGAAAUAAACCAGAUACAGUCCACCCCUUGAGGGGCUGCGGUCUGGGGAGAGACAGAUGAUGAAAGCAAGGCCAGAGAAGAUAAAUGGCCCACGCAGGGGCUCAGAGCCCGUGUCCAGAAGAAGUCAGCUUCUCAGCCCUACUCUACCCAGGCCAGCUCCUGUGGGCUGGACAGGGGAGAGCUCCCUGGAGAAAACACGGAAAGACGUCCGGAGGAAGGCUGGGAGUCUGACUGUGGAAAGCCUCAAAGUCAGGCCAGGGGUACCCAUGGUGGUGUUGGCUAAAUGCUCCACAUUUCCCGCGUGACUGAAAAGGCUGGCUCCUCCAGGAAUGCUCCCUUCUGCUGCUGGGUUUGGCUUUAUUUCUGGAGACCCCUUAAGCUCUCUGAUCCUUAGUUCCUUCAUUGUAGCAAAGUCUAAUAAUACACCGCCAGCUGCUGCAAGGAUUACUGGUACUGUAUGCAAAGUGCUGGACAUAUGAUCAUGCACAGUAAUGAGGAGCUAUUAAUAUUAUGUCAGCUGCUGGCUGCAGCCGCCUCC